AGAGUUUUUUCCUGGCUCAGGAUGAACGCUGGCAGCGUGCUUAACACAUGCAAGUCGAGCGAAGCACCUUGACGGAUUUCUUCGGAUUGAAGCCUUGGUGACUGAGCGGCGGACGGGUGAGUAACGCGUGGGUAACCUGCCUCAUACAGGGGGAUAACAGUUGGAAACGGCUGCUAAUACCGCAUAAGCGCACAGUACCGCAUGGUACGGUGUGAAAAACUCCGGUGGUAUGAGAUGGACCCGCGUCUGAUUAGGUAGUUGGUGGGGUAACGGCCUACCAAGCCGACGAUCAGUAGCCGACCUGAGAGGGUGACCGGCCACAUUGGGACUGAGACACGGCCCAAACUCCUACGGGAGGCAGCAGUGGGGAAUAUUGCACAAUGGGGGAAACCCUGAUGCAGCGACGCCGCGUGAGCGAUGAAGUAUUUCGGUAUGUAAAGCUCUAUCAGCAGGGAAGAAAAUGACGGUACCUGACUAAGAAGCCCCGGCUAACUACGUGCCAGCAGCCGCGGUAAUACGUAGGGGGCAAGCGUUAUCCGGAUUUACUGGGUGUAAAGGGAGCGUAGACGGCAUGGCAAGCCAGAUGUGAAAGCCCGGGGAUCAACCCCGGGACUGCAUUUGGAACUGUCAGGCUAGAGUGUCGGAGAGGAAAGCGGAAUUCCUAGUGUAGCGGUGAAAUGCGUAGAUAUUAGGAGGAACACCAGUGGCGAAGGCGGCUUUCUGGACGAUGACUGACGUUGAGGCUCGAAAGCGUGGGGAGCAAACAGGAUUAGAUACCCUGGUAGUCCACGCCGUAAACGA
Molecule: ribosomal RNA, 801 nt
Filed under: uncultured bacterium
Lineage: Bacteria
Description: bacterial SSU rRNA
Rfam family: Bacterial small subunit ribosomal RNA
Source: RNAcentral